UGGCUGCAGUGGGGAAUAUUGGACAAUGGGCGAAAGCCUGAUCCAGCCAUGCCGCGUGUGUGAAGAAGGUCUUCGGAUUGUAAAGCACUUUAAGUUGGGAGGAAGGGCAGUAAAUUAAUACUUUGCUGUUUUGACGUUACCGACAGAAUAAGCACCGGCUAACUCUGUGCCAGCAGCCGCGGUAAUACAGAGGGUGCAAGCGUUAAUCGGAAUUACUGGGCGUAAAGCGCGCGUAGGUGGUUAGUUAAGUUGGAUGUGAAAUCCCCGGGCUCAACCUGGGAACUGCAUUCAAAACUGACUGACUAGAGUAUGGUAGAGGGUGGUGGAAUUUCCUGUGUAGCGGUGAAAUGCGUAGAUAUAGGAAGGAACACCAGUGGCGAAGGCGACCACCUGGACUGAUACUGACACUGAGGUGCGAAAGCGUGGGGAGCAAACAGGAUUAGAUACCCGUGUAGUC
RNAcentral lists this ribosomal RNA (457 nucleotides) under uncultured Pseudomonas sp. Its description in RNAcentral is "bacterial SSU rRNA". It matches the Rfam family "Bacterial small subunit ribosomal RNA", at positions 346 to 795 of the family's 1533-position model. Lineage: Bacteria; Pseudomonadati; Pseudomonadota; Gammaproteobacteria; Pseudomonadales; Pseudomonadaceae. The record is from RNAcentral.